Molecule: ribosomal RNA, 329 nt
Filed under: uncultured eukaryote
Lineage: Eukaryota
Description: partial 18S ribosomal RNA
Rfam family: Eukaryotic small subunit ribosomal RNA
Source: RNAcentral
CCCUUAGAUGUUCUGGGCCGCACGCGCGCUACACUGAUGCAUUCAACGAGUCUAAAACCUGCUCUGAUAGGGGUGGGUAAUCUUUUGAAUGUGCAUCGUGAUUGGGAUAGAUGAUUGAAAUUUUUCAUCUUCAACGAGGAAUGCCUAGUAAACGCAAGUCAUCAGCUUGCAUUGUUUACGUCCCUGCCCUUUGUACACACCGCCCGUCGCUCCUACCGAUUGAAUGAUCCGAUGAAUAUCAUGGAUUGAGGAUGCAAGUAGGUUCACCUAUCUUCAUCUUCGAGAAGUGAAGUAAAUCUUAUCAUUUAGAGGAAGGAGAAGUCGUAACA